AUGUGUGUGCCACUGUGUGUGUGUCACUGUGUGUGUGUGUGUGUCUGUGUGUGUGCCACUGUGUGUGUCACUGUGUGUGUGUGUCACUGUGUGUGUGUGCCACUGUGUGUGUCUGCCACUGUCUGUGUGUGCCACUGUGUGUGUGUGCCACUGUGUGUGCCACUGUCUGUGUGUGCCACUGUGUGUGUGCCACUGUCUGUAUGUGCCACUGUCUGUGUGUGCCACUGUGUGUGUGUGCCACUGUCUGUGUGUGCCACUGUGUGUGUGUGCCACUGUGUGUGCCACUGUCUGUGUGUGCCACUGUGUGUGUCACUGUGUGUGUGCCACUGUGUGUGCCACUGUCUGUGUGUGCCACUGUGUGUGUGUGCCACUGUCUGUGUGUGCCACUGUGUGUGUGUGCCACUGUGUGUGCCACUGUGUGUGUGUGCCACUGUGUGUGCCACUGUCUGUGUGUGCCACUGUCUGUGUGUGCCACUGUCUGUGCCACUGUGUGUGUGUGCCACUGUGUGUGUGUGCCACUGUGUGUGUCACUGUGUGUGUGCCACUGUAUGUGUGUGCCACUGUGUGUGUCGCUGUGUGCCACUGUCUGUGUGUGCCACUGUCUGUGUGUGCAGCUGUGUUUGUCACUGUGUGUGUGCCACUGUCUGUGUGUGCCAAUGUGUGUGUCACUGUGUGUGUGCCACUGUGUGUGUCACUGUGUGUGUGCCACUGUGUGUGUGCCACUGUCUGUGUGUGCCACUGUCUUUAUGUGCCACUGUCUGUGUGUGCCACUGUCUGUGUGUGCAGCUGUGUUUGUCACUGUGUGUGUGCCACUGUCUGUGUGUCAAUGUGUGUGUCACUGUGUGUGUGCCACUGUGUGUGUCACUGUGUGUGUGUCACUGUGUGUGUGCCACUGUCUGUGUGUGCAACUGUGUGUGCCACUGUGUGUGUGUGUGUGCCACUGUGUGUGCCACUGUCUGUGUGUGCCACUGUGUGUGUGUGCCACUGUGUGUGCCACUGUGUGUGUGUGUGUGUGUGUGCCACUGUGUGUGCCACUGUGUGUGUGUGCCACUGUGUGUGUGUGCCACUGUGUGUGCCACUGUGUGUGUGUGCCACUGUCUGUAUGUGCCACUGUCUGUGUGUGCCAUUGUCUGUGUGUGCCACUGUCUGUGCCACUGUGUGUGUGUGCCACUGUGUGUGUGUGCCACUGUGUGUGUCACUGUGUGUGUGCCACUGUCUGUGUGUGCCACUUGUGUGUCGUGUGUGUGUGCCACUGUGUGUGCCACUGUCUGUGUGUGCCACUGUCUGUGUGUGCAACUGUGUUUGUCACUGUGUGUGUGCCACUGUCUGUGUGUGCCACUGUGUGUGUCAAUGUGUGUGUCACUGUGUGUGUGCCACUGUGUGUGUCACUGUGUGUGUGCCACUGUGUGUGCCACUGUCUGUGUGUGCCACUGUCUUUAUGUGCCACUGUCUGUGUGUGCCACUGUGUGUGCCACUGUGUGUGUGUGCCACUGUGUGUGUGUGCCACUGUCUGUGUCUGUCACUGUCUGUGUGUGCCACUGUCUGUGUGUGCCACUGUGUGUGUGUGCCACUGUGUGUGCCACUGUGUGUGUGUGCCACUGUGUGUGUGUGCCACUGUGUGUGUGUGCCACUGUCUGUGUGUGGCACUGUGUGUGUGUGCCACUGUGUGUGUCACUGUGUGUGUGCCACUGUCUGUGUGUGCCACUGUGUGUGUGCUGUGUGUGUGCCACUGUGUGUGUCGCUGUGUGUGUGUCACUGUGUGUGUGCCACUGUGUGUGCCACUGUGUGUGUGUGCCACUGUGUGUGUGUGCCACUGUGUGUGCCACUGUGUGUGUGUGCCACUGUCUGUGUGUGCCACUGUGUGUGUGUGCCACUGUGUGUGUCACUGUGUGUGUGUGCCACUGUGUGUGUGUGUCACUGUGUGUGUGUGCCACUGUCUGUAUGUGCCACUGUCUGUGUGUGCCACUGUGUGUGUGUGCCACUGUGUGUGCCACUGUGUGUGUGUGCCACUGUGUGUGCCACUGUCUGUGUCUGUCACUGUCUGUGUGUGCCACUGUCUGUGUGUGCCACUGUGUGUGUGUGCCACUGUGUGUGCCACUGUGUGUGUGUCACUGUGUGUGUGCCACUGUGUGUGUGCCACAAUGUGUGUCACUGUGUGUGUGUGCCACUGUGUGUGCCACUGUCUGUGUGUGUCACUGUGUGUGUGCCACUGUCUGUGUGUGUCACUGUGUGUGUGUCACUGUGUGGGUGCCACUGUGUGUGUGCCACUGUGUGUGUCACUGUGUGUGUGUGUGUCACUGUGUGAGUCACUGUGUGUGUGUGUGUGUCACUGCGUGUGUGCCACUGUGUGUGUGUCACUGUGUGUGUGUCAUUGUGUGUGUGUGUGUGUGUUUCACUGUGUGUGUGUCAUUGUGUGUGUCACUGUGUGUGCCACUGCGUGUGUGUCAUUGCGUGUGUGUUUCACUGUGUGUGUGUGCCACUGUGUGUGUCACUGUAUGUUACUGUGUGUGUGCCAUUGUGUGUGUGCCACUGUCUGUGUGUGUCACUGUGUCACACACGGUGACACACACAGUGGCACACACACUGUGUCCCAUGCAGCUUUGCUUCCUAAAAUGA
Molecule: long non-coding RNA, 2616 nt
Organism: Cyprinus carpio carpio
Lineage: Eukaryota; Metazoa; Chordata; Actinopteri; Cypriniformes; Cyprinidae
Source: Ensembl